RNAcentral lists this transfer RNA (89 nucleotides) under Eikenella sp. RNAcentral's name for it is "tRNA-Ser(tga)". It matches the Rfam family "tRNA". Rfam says of the family: Transfer RNA (tRNA) molecules are approximately 80 nucleotides in length. RNAcentral also lists the same sequence under 10 other names. The record is from RNAcentral. Lineage: Bacteria; Pseudomonadati; Pseudomonadota; Betaproteobacteria; Neisseriales; Neisseriaceae.
GGAAGCGUGGCAGAGUGGUUUAAUGCAGCGGUCUUGAAAACCGUCGUGGGUUAGGCCCACCGUGAGUUCGAAUCUCACCGCUUCCGCCA